Molecule: ribosomal RNA, 444 nt
Filed under: uncultured bacterium
Lineage: Bacteria
Description: partial 16S ribosomal RNA
Rfam family: Bacterial small subunit ribosomal RNA
Source: RNAcentral
CCUACGGGAGGCAGCAGUGGGGAAUAUUGGGCAAUGGAGGAAACUCUGACCCAGCAAUGCCGCGUGAAGGUCAGUGGCCUUUGGGCUGUAAAGUUCUUUAGUCCGGGAACAAUAAUAUUACGGUAUCUCCAGACUAAGCUCCCGCUAACUACGUCCUAGCAGCAGCGGUAAUACGGAGGAAGCAAGAGUUGGUCGGAGUGACUGUGCGUAAAGGGUGCGUAGGCGGUGAUGUAAGUCAGAGGUGAAAUACCCAGGCUUUACGGCGGGAGGUGCCUCUGAUACUGUAAGACUUGAGUGCGGAUGACGUUGGUGGAAUGUGUGGUGUAGCGGUGGAAUGCAUAGAUAUCACACAGAACACCGAAUGCGAAGGCAUCUAACGAAACUGCGAUUGACGCUGAGGCACGAAAGUGUGGGGAGCAAACAGGAUUAGAUACCCGUGUAGUC